GCCCAAACCUGACUCUGCAGCUGGGAGAGGAGCCCCAGCACCAGGAUUCGCAGGUGUUCCAGUCAGUACUCAGGACAGGACACAGACAACUCACAAUGGAGUUUGUGCUUGGCUGGGUUUUCCUUGUUGCUCUUUUAAAAGGUAUCCAGUGUGAGGUGCAGCUGGUGGAGUCUGGGGGAGACCUGGUGAAGCCUGAGGGGUCCCUGAGACUCUCCUGUGCAGCCUCUGGAUUUACCUUCAGCAGCUACUACAUGAUCUGUGUCCGCCAGGCUCCAGGGAAGGGGCUGCAGUGGGUCGCAGUUAUUAACUAUGAUGGAAGUUUCACAAGCUACGCAGACUCUGUGAAGGGCCGAUUCACCAUCUCCAGAGACAACGGCAAGA
Non-coding RNA from Lontra canadensis (Northern American river otter), 381 nucleotides. The record is from the annotation of a RefSeq genome assembly. NCBI's taxonomy places the organism in Eukaryota, Metazoa, Chordata, Mammalia, Carnivora, Mustelidae.